UACAGAGGUCUCAAGCGUUGUUCGGAUUCAUUGGGCGUAAAGGGUGCGUAGGCGGCGCGGUAAGUCGGGUGUGAAAUCUCGGAGCUUAACUCCGAAACUGCAUUAGAUACUGCCGUGCUUGAGGACUGGAGAGGAGACUGGAAUUUACGGUGUAGCGGUGAAAUGCGUAGAUAUCGUAAGGAAGACCAGUGGCGAAGGCGGGUCUCUGGACAGUUCCUGACGCUGAGGCACGAAGGUCAGGGGAGCAAACGGG
This 253-nucleotide ribosomal RNA is filed under the name uncultured bacterium. Its description in RNAcentral is "partial 16S ribosomal RNA". It matches the Rfam family "Bacterial small subunit ribosomal RNA", at positions 524 to 776 of the family's 1533-position model. The record is from RNAcentral.